This 56-nucleotide transfer RNA is filed under the name Svenkoeltzia congestiflora. RNAcentral's name for it is "partial tRNA-Phe". It matches the Rfam family "tRNA", at positions 1 to 53 of the family's 71-position model. Rfam says of the family: Transfer RNA (tRNA) molecules are approximately 80 nucleotides in length. Their secondary structure includes four short double-helical elements and three loops (D, anti-codon, and T loops). Further hydrogen bonds mediate the characteristic L-shaped molecular structure. tRNAs have two regions of fundamental functional importance: the anti-codon, which is responsible for specific mRNA codon recognition, and the 3' end, to which the tRNAs corresponding amino acid is attached (by aminoacyl-tRNA synthetases). tRNAs cope with the degeneracy of the genetic code in two manners: having more than one tRNA (with a specific anti-codon) for a particular amino acid; and 'wobble' base-pairing, i.e. permitting non-standard base-pairing at the 3rd anti-codon position. The record is from RNAcentral. Lineage: Eukaryota; Viridiplantae; Streptophyta; Magnoliopsida; Asparagales; Orchidaceae.
GGUCAGGAUAGCUCAGUUGGUAGAGCAGAGGACUGAAAAUCCUCGUGUCACCAGUC